GGUUAAUAAUUAACUGUACCGAAGACAGUAGGUGACGCAAGUCUUAAUUUCCUACCGAGGACAAUUGUUGAUACAUACAAUUACGUCCCUCUAUGUCAACGGUGGCAUGGAGUUUUGUUGUUUUACAC
This is a non-coding RNA of Enterococcus sp., 128 nucleotides long. Lineage: Bacteria; Bacillati; Bacillota; Bacilli; Lactobacillales; Enterococcaceae. The record is from Rfam.